UGCUGCAUGGCUGUCGUCAGCUCGUGCCGUGAGGUGUUAGGUUAAGUCCUGCAACGAGCGCAACCCUGUUUCCAGUUGCCAUCAAGUAAAGUUGGGGACGUCUGGAGAGACUGCCUGCGCAAGCAGAGAGGAAGGUGGGGAUGACGUCAAGUCAGCACGGCCCUUACGUCCAGGGCUACACACGUGCUACAAUGGCCGGUACAGAGGGCAGCGACCUGGUGACAGGUAGCGAAUCUCCAAAGCCGGUCUCAGUUCGGAUCGGAGUCUGCAACUCGACUCCGUGAAGCUGAAUUCGCUAGCAAUCGGAUAUCAGCAAUGAUCCGGUGAAUACGUUCCCGGGCCUU
This 344-nucleotide ribosomal RNA is filed under the name uncultured Bacteroidales bacterium. Its description in RNAcentral is "bacterial SSU rRNA". It matches the Rfam family "Bacterial small subunit ribosomal RNA", at positions 1039 to 1382 of the family's 1533-position model. Lineage: Bacteria; Pseudomonadati; Bacteroidota; Bacteroidia; Bacteroidales. The record is from RNAcentral.